GACGAACGCUGGCGGCGUGCUUAACACAUGCAAGUCGAACGGAAAGGCCCUGCUUUUGUGGGGUGCUCGAGUGGCGAACGGGUGAGUAACACGUGAGUAACCUGCCCUUGACUUUGGGAUAACUUCAGGAAACUGGGGCUAAUACCGGAUAGGAGCUCCUGCUGCAUGGUGGGGGUUGGAAAGUUUCGGCGGUUGGGGAUGGACUCGCGGCUUAUCAGCUUGUUGGUGGGGUAGUGGCUUACCAAGGCUUUGACGGGUAGCCGGCCUGAGAGGGUGACCGGCCACAUUGGGACUGAGAUACGGCCCAGAAUCCUACGGGAGGCAGCAGUGGGGAAUAUUGCACAAUGGGGCGAAGCCUGAUGCAGCAAAGCCGCGUGGGGGAUGAAGGCCUUCGGGUUUGAAACCGCCUUCGCCUGUGACGAAGCGUGAGUGACGGUAAUGGGUAAAGAAGCACCGGCUAACUACGUG
RNAcentral lists this ribosomal RNA (468 nucleotides) under uncultured bacterium. RNAcentral describes it as "partial 16S ribosomal RNA". It matches the Rfam family "Bacterial small subunit ribosomal RNA", at positions 28 to 507 of the family's 1533-position model. The record is from RNAcentral.